RNAcentral lists this ribosomal RNA (497 nucleotides) under uncultured bacterium. RNAcentral's name for it is "partial 16S ribosomal RNA". It matches the Rfam family "Bacterial small subunit ribosomal RNA", at positions 36 to 507 of the family's 1533-position model. The record is from RNAcentral.
UCUUCCCUCUUUCCUCGUGCCUAAUACAUGCAAGUCGAGCGAACAGAUGAGGAGCUUGCUCCUCUGACGUUAGCGGCGGACGGGUGAGUAACACGUGGAUAACCUACCUAUAAGACUGGGAUAACUUCGGGAAACCGGAGCUAAUACCGGAUAAUAUAUUGAACCGCAUGGUUCAAUAGUGAAAGACGGUUUUGCUGUCACUUAUAGAUGGAUCCGCGCCGCAUUAGCUAGUUGGUAAGGUAACGGCUUACCAAGGCAACGAUGCGUAGCCGACCUGAGAGGGUGAUCGGCCACACUGGAACUGAGACACGGUCCAGACUCCUACGGGAGGCAGCAGUAGGGAAUCUUCCGCAAUGGGCGAAAGCCUGACGGAGCAACGCCGCGUGAGUGAUGAAGGUCUUCGGAUCGUAAAACUCUGUUAUUAGGGAAGAACAAAUGUGUAAGUAACUAUGCACGUCUUGACGGUACCUAAUCAGAAAGCCACGGCUAACUACGUG